This 443-nucleotide ribosomal RNA is filed under the name uncultured bacterium. Its description in RNAcentral is "partial 16S ribosomal RNA". It matches the Rfam family "Bacterial small subunit ribosomal RNA", at positions 338 to 795 of the family's 1533-position model. The record is from RNAcentral.
CCUACGGGAUGCAGCAGUGGGGAAUAUUGGGCAAUGGGCGCAAGCCUGACCCAGCAACGCCGCGUGAAGGAAGAAGGCUUUCGGGUUGUAAACUUCUUUUCUGAGGGACGAAGAAAGUGACGGUACCUCAGGAAUAAGCCACGGCUAACUACGUGCCAGCAGCCGCGGUAAUACGUAGGUGGCAAGCGGUAUCAGGAUUUAUUGGGUGUAAAGGGCGUGUAGGCGGGACAGCAAGUCAGAUGUGAAAACUCAGGGCUCAACCCUGAGCCUGCAUUUGAAACUGUUUUUCUUGAGUGCUGGAGAGGCAAGCAGAAUUCCGUGUGUAGCGGGGAAAUGCGUAGAGAUACGGAGGAACACCAGUGGCGAAGGCGGAUUGCUGGACAGUAACUGACGCUGAGGCGCGAAAGCGUGGGGAGCAAACAGGAUUAGAUACCCGGGUAGUC